RNAcentral lists this ribosomal RNA (489 nucleotides) under uncultured bacterium. RNAcentral describes it as "partial 16S ribosomal RNA". It matches the Rfam family "Bacterial small subunit ribosomal RNA", at positions 28 to 507 of the family's 1533-position model. The record is from RNAcentral.
GAUGAACGCUAGCUACAGGCUUAACACAUGCAAGUCGAGGGGCAGCAUGAUUGAAGCUUGCUUCAAUCGAUGGCGACCGGCGCACGGGUGAGUAACACGUAUCCAACCUGCCGAUAACUCGGGGAUAGCCUUUCGAAAGAAAGAUUAAUACCCGAUAGUAUAGUAUUUCCGCAUGGUUUCACUAUUAAAGAACUUCGGUUAUCGAUGGGGAUGCGUUCCAUUAGAUAGUUGGCGGGGUAACGGCCCACCAAGUCAACGAUGGAUAGGGGUUCUGAGAGGAAGGUCCCCCACAUUGGAACUGAGACACGGUCCAAACUCCUACGGGAGGCAGCAGUGAGGAAUAUUGGUCAAUGGACGAGAGUCUGAACCAGCCAAGUAGCGUGAAGGAGGACUGCCCUAGGGGUUGUAAACUUCUUUUAUACGGGAAUAAAGUGGAGUAUGCAUACUCCUUUGUAUGUACCGUAUGAAUAAGGAUCGGCUAACUCCGUG